CAUCUCAGUUCCCGGCUGACCGCCUCUCUCCAAUCCCCUAUCCCCUAGGCGGAGGGUCUCUCUCUCUCCUGUCUCCAUUUAGAGUUCGCCACGAUCUUCAAGUUGUGCUUCUUCCGUGAUUCAUGGUUCCAUAUUCCAAUCCGUCCGCAUCCAGAAGAUGUGAUUCCGCCCUAAAAUUCGAGGUAGCCCCCGCCAGCCCCGUUUCUUUGUUCUGCACCUGUGCUGAUUAUGAACUCACAUGUUGAUGGACAGUCUCGUGCACUCAACUUCCAUAUAGCACCACCGCCUCUUUGCGCCCAUGCGUCAUUUUUUGCUGUAAUGCAACUACACUCUGCUCUUAAUUUAAAAUAAUGGGUCGAUUAUUUGACUAAUGUUUUGCUCCUAGUUUCAAUUUUGGAUAAGGAAAUUAGCCCACUGUCAUCACGGAUAUCUAUAGACUGUAAAAUGCCAUCAAACUGAAUGGAGGCUGAUAAGUGAGAUUUGGGGCCAACAGUUCGUGGACACGUUGACGGAUAGCACUACUGUUAUAUAGCAUGGUGCUAUUUCCACUUGUUGGUUCCAUUGUCAACAUAAACGGGCGCCACACAUGCAAUCAAAUGCAAUGCAUCUCUAACAGGGUACGUACACAGUACACGCUCUGGGAGUUUAUUCAAACGAACAUCUAAUCGUACAGGCUGACCGGCUUCUUUUGAAACCAGGGUCCUGCCAUUCUUCUUGUAUCUUAUUGCUUAUUUUCGAGGUCACGUUACUCAUCAAAAGGUUACUCAUCAAAAUUGUGUUCAUAUAUGCCACUUUGUUCUCUGUAUACAUGUAUAAAUCCACUGAAUUACUCCAAGGCUCCUUCAUUCUGGAUUAAUUUGGGAUUAUUUUUAGGUGUGUUUGCAACUAGUAUUUAUUUACCUUCAGAGAACGAGAAGAUCAUCAAAACCCCAGUUGUUUGACAAAGUUUUCAUGUAUUCAGCAUAUGCAAGCACAUCACAGAAGUGGUCUUAUCAUGACAUUCUUCAGGGCACUAAGCGUUUGUCAAAAUUUUCUAUUCAGCACAUGCAAGCACCUUUACCUUAGGGUUCUAAUUCUGAGCAUUUCUUGUCAAACUGACACCUAUAUGUUGAAUUCCAUUUUGUGAAAGAAAAAUUGCAGUGUUUUCUUGGUGUCACACCCACAUUUGGGCAUUCAUAAUCACAUCGGGGCAAAUACCAGCCGCUUGUGCAGUGCCUGCCUCUAGUUGUUUGGUAACCAUAUAGUAGGAGUAUUUUAUUUUAUCACAUUAUUGCCCAUGACUUCAGUCACAAAAAAACGUUUCACAAGACUGGCUGUUAGCAGAAUGUCACAGUUACAUAUCUGCUGUUGGUAAGGGUCUCAAGGUUGCACUCACGUGAAGCUAAAAAAAGAGUUAGGCAAGAUCAUCCUGAUCGAAACACAUUUAAUUAUCAACUUGAGCAAAAGGAAUGUCAUCUCAGAGUCAGCCACGCUCAACUUGACCAAAACAUAUUAAGGAACUUUAUCCUUCUCUUUGUCAGUUUUUGGUCAUGAUUGUUCCAAUCUAAAUAUGUUUGUUGUCGUUUACAUCAUGUCAGCAGUGUACUAAUAUGUUUUAAACUUUUAAUGUCAAGUAGAUGAUAAUAUUCAUGAUUAUCCUGAUCUUGAUCUGCUUUAUUUCAGCCUUCCUGGUAUACACCUAUUUCUUUUGCUGAAUAACAUGAUAUGAUUAUACUCUUGCAAAGAAAUUAAGUGCUAUUCUUUACACAUGGAGUCUGAAUGCGAAAUGAGUUAUGACCAUGUCUUUAUCUACUUUUAAUCUUGCAUCUUCAAGAAGGUUGGUUAAACAUGCUUUUCAGGUGAACUGUUUCAUCUCCAGGGACUUGGAAUAUGUAUGCUCUUGGUCUUAUUUUACUAGUUAUGCUUGCACAGAAUUCUGAUCUGAAAGUGCCAGCUCCUGUACAAGUCGUUUGGCGUGCUGCUGUUAAGCGUCUCAUCCUUUGCAACCUACCCAUCAAAUCGAAACAAUAUCCAUAUCUCAGACUGUUUUACUUGUAUUUUUCCUUCCCUGUGUGCCGUUCAAAUAUGCUGGCCUCUCUUGUUGCUGUCACCGAGUAAUUGCGACGUGAGAUGCGAGAAGGGGCAUUGAUGAUGAGAAGCUAAUGAUGAAGUUGUGUGUGCAGAGUCUGCCAAUGUCAAUACAUAACUCAGGCACAUGGAAGGGGCUGCUGCAUCUGGACCCUCCCCUACCUGAGUAUAUGCUUGGAAGGAUGCCCUGUUUCUUAGAGUUUACCAUAUGAGUCUGUCACUCCAAUUCUCUCUCGAGGUGAAAAGAAAAGGCUGAAUUUUGUAACAUGUCGUUUGGUGAUUUUGGCAGGCAGGAUCGGGGAUUGAUCGCAUUCCGGUUGAUUCAAAUUCAUCACAUUCUGAUUGAUUAAAACUCAUGUGCGUGCGCGUGUGCUUGAUUGCAAUUGCUACUGAACUUGUAUGGAUCAUACAGAAAGAGACUGGUGCACGGAAGGGAUUAUCCUAACAACGCUCCGAUGAACAGAUCGAGGGGGAGAAUCAUUCAUCAGUGUAUGGGUACAGUAAUAGUAGGACACAUGCAUGACUCCUGAAGCUGUGGACGUGGGCCAAAAGACAGCGGCUAGAUCCUCCUACUGACGGAGCUCAUGAUUACUGAUUUUAUUCCUACCAUCAUCAGCAGUAACAUCCAACCUGUCGUCUCCUGUUCUAGUACCAGUAUUCAAGACCAGGCCAGCUCGACGAGAUAUGCAGACUCACUGAUUUAUUGCAAGGAGUAGCUAGCUAGCUGGAUUAUUACGGAGGGAGGUGAUGCAGAUGCAGUGCCCAUAAACACGGCAAAAUUUUGGCUAUGCUUGCCGGUUAGUAAGGAUAUAUCUAUGUAAGAUAGUGUGGCUUCUGGUACCCAUGAAAGUGACGAACUGACAACCCUUGUUUCUUGCCAGAAUGUCUGAAGCAGCGAAGCAUGCAGCCCAGGUCCAUCCAUGGUUCUCUGUUAAGGAUGGCAAUGAAUCGAUGAUCAUGUCUGUGCUUGCGAGGGUACGAGCUGUGCUACGGAACAGACCGCAGAAGACGAUGGUGUGGUCUUGCUAUGUUGGUGGUAUGCCGUGGCGAUGUCACUGGCGACCCGGACCGCGUCGAGGGAGACUCCAGACAGGCCCCGGCGUGUGAAGCCAACGGAAUAUAGCCCGGUCUCGCCUUUCCACCCCUCCGGGAACUCUGCCUUGGGGUACCCUUCUCCGCUGAAGAAGUCGCUUCCCUGCACACCAAAAUACAUCUUGUUAGUUAGCUUUGUUUCAAUUUGAACAGACCCUGUAACUUAUUCUUUAGUAUCAGUUAAGUGUGCCAUUAUGGCUUUCCCCAAAAGAGAAAUAGUACUAUGUAGUGGAAAAGAAAACAAGUGGUGAUUGAAUUUGUUCUCUGGUUACUUUAAUUGUGAAAUGAAGUGAUUGAGCAAGUGCAAUGCACAGCUGCACACUUGUGCUUGUUGUCGC
Long non-coding RNA from Lolium rigidum, 3497 nucleotides. RefSeq lists it as uncharacterized. The transcript is spliced from 2 exons. The record is from RefSeq and is a predicted model, not a curated record. Lineage: Eukaryota; Viridiplantae; Streptophyta; Magnoliopsida; Poales; Poaceae.